GCGCCUCUGGCGGAAUUGGCAGACGUAGCGAACUUAAAAUUCGCGGUCGUAAGACAUUGAGGGUUCGAGUCCCUCGUUGUGAA
This 83-nucleotide transfer RNA is filed under the name Paenibacillus rigui. RNAcentral describes it as "Paenibacillus sp. WPCB173 tRNA". It matches the Rfam family "tRNA". From Rfam's summary of the family: Transfer RNA (tRNA) molecules are approximately 80 nucleotides in length. Their secondary structure includes four short double-helical elements and three loops (D, anti-codon, and T loops). Lineage: Bacteria; Bacillati; Bacillota; Bacilli; Caryophanales; Paenibacillaceae. The record is from Rfam by way of RNAcentral.